GUUUGAUCCUGGCUCAGAUUGAACGCUGGCGGCAGGCCUAACACAUGCAAGUCGAGCGGUAGCACAGAGAGCUUGCUCUCGGGUGACGAGCGGCGGACGGGUGAGUAACUGAGGGAAACUGCCUGAUGGAGGGGGAUAACUACUGGAAACGGUAGCUAAUACCGCAUAACGUCGCAAGACCAAAGUGGGGGACCUUCGGGCCUCAUGCCAUCAGAUGUGCCCAGAUGGGAUUAGCUAGUAGGUGGGGUAACGGCUCACCUAGGCGACGAUCCCUAGCUGGUCUGAGAGGAUGACCAGCCACACUGGAACUGAGACACGGUCCAGACUCCUACGGGAGGCAGCAGUGGGGAAUAUUGCACAAUGGGCGCAAGCCUGAUGCAGCCAUGCCGCGUGUGUGAAGAAGGCCUUCGGGUUGUAAAGCACUUUCAGCGGGGAGGAAGGCGAUAAGGUUAAUAACCUUGUCGAUUGACGUUACCCGCAGAAGAAGCACCGGCUAACUCCGUGCCAGCAGCCGCGGUAAUACGGAGGGUGCAAGCGUUAAUCGGAAUUACUGGGCGUAAAGCGCACGCAGGCGGUCUGUCAAGUCGGAUGUGAAAUCCCCGGGCUCAACCUGGGAACUGCAUUCGAAACUGGCAGGCUAGAGUCUUGUAGAGGGGGGUAGAAUUCCAGGUGUAGCGGUGAAAUGCGUAGAGAUCUGGAGGAAUACCGGUGGCGAAGGCGGCCCCCUGGACAAAGACUGACGCUCAGGUGCGAAAGCGUGGGGAGCAAACAGGAUUAGAUACCCUGGUAGUCCACGCCGUAAACGAUGUCGAUUUGGAGGUUGUGCCCUUGAGGCGUGGCUUCCGGAGCUAACGCGUUAAAUCGACCGCCUGGGGAGUACGGCCGCAAGGUUAAAACUCAAAUGAAUUGACGGGGGCCCGCACAAGCGGUGGAGCAUGUGGUUUAAUUCGAUGCAACGCGAAGAACCUUACCUGGUCUUGACAUCCACAGAACUUUCCAGAGAUGGAUUGGUGCCUUCGGGAACUGUGAGACAGGUGCUGCAUGGCUGUCGUCAGCUCGUGUUGUGAAAUGUUGGGUUAAGUCCCGCAACGAGCGCAACCCUUAUCCUUUGUUGCCAGCGGUUAGGCCGGGAACUCAAAGGAGACUGCCAGUGAUAAACUACAGGAAGGUGGGGAUGACGUCAAGUCAUCAUGGCCCUUACGACCAGGGCUACACACGUGCUACAAUGGCAUAUACAAAGAGAAGCGACCUCGCGAGAGCAAGCGGACCUCAUAAAGUAUGUCGUAGUCCGGAUUGGAGUCUGCAAC
Molecule: ribosomal RNA, 1307 nt
Filed under: Klebsiella pneumoniae subsp. pneumoniae
Lineage: Bacteria; Pseudomonadati; Pseudomonadota; Gammaproteobacteria; Enterobacterales; Enterobacteriaceae
Description: bacterial SSU rRNA
Rfam family: Bacterial small subunit ribosomal RNA
Source: RNAcentral